Molecule: non-coding RNA, 2595 nt
Organism: Lolium perenne
Lineage: Eukaryota; Viridiplantae; Streptophyta; Magnoliopsida; Poales; Poaceae
Source: RefSeq, a predicted model, not a curated record
GCACGAUAGAAAUCUGAUCAGAAAAAGAAAUUCUGACGGGAAUUGCGCACACAACUUCGGAACCUCCACCGCUGCCCUCCUUCCCACGACCACCACCCUCUCGGCUCUCCCAUUCGGGUGAGGAACCACUGCCCUGACGGAGGAUGCGUAUUUCCCCAUCGAGAUCCGCGGUAUAGAGAACCGGGGUCGCCGCCUCAGCCUUCCAUCCGUGCGUCGCGCACGCACGUCCCUCAGUACAUUGAGGAAAUUGGCCCCACGAUCCACCGAUUCAGCGCACAGGUUGUUGAUGAUGUUGACCGCCGAUUCGUUGGCCGCCGGACUCAUCGCGUCUCUCGCGGCAGAGGCACACAGGUAGCCAUGACUUUCCACUGCAGUUACUUAUCAUCUACGGAGUAAGAAUUUUUUUUGUACUGUUAUCCAAGUACAUCAACAAUCCUUCAUUUGGUUCAGUCUUGAAAGAGCAGCACGUUUUACCACUGCCGCUUUUAGAUCUAUCUUCUAGCGAACCUCCAUGGCAACCCGCCGGCUCACCUACGGAAAAAUGCUCAUCGUUUGGUUCAUGGAAAAUAACUUCAAGACACAUUUGUUCCUGAUGCAGGUGCAAGCAUUUUCUUGCAUCUAGAGGAUAUGUUGCAUGAGGUUGUAGGUCUCGAUAUCUUAUCUUGGAUAAGGUGUCUGGAUCUUUGUACUCUUGCUAUGCUGACAAUCUCCAGCGGUCCAACUCAAGGAAUUGGCACGAUAAAACUUUGACUACUAGACUUUUGGUAACUGAUCCAAGAUUGAUGAUGGGAUAUUACUUGUAUAAUUUUCCCUGAUGUUUACUGGGUUGAUGAAUUAUGUUAUUGCAACUUUUUCUGAACCAUGUCCACUAUUCAAUUCUUCACACACAGCUUCUUAGGGUAUCACUGUAGUCUUGAACCAUGACAUUUUAUAUUUAUCGCAUCUGUUUUGACUAGCUUACAGAGAGUGGUAUUUAGCCAUAGGACUGUAAACAGGUAGUUGUUUCAUUCGUUGUAGACUUACGAGCAAUCAAAUGUUGUUUCUUUUGGAAAUUUGAAAUAAAUGAAAAUACAUAUUCUUCGGAAUGGAUGGUUCAGUUCAACAAUUAUUUUCAUUAGGUUCCUGUGAAAGCUACUACAUACUAAAGUAUCAUCAAUCUAUGACAGGUUCAGCUGCACACUUUUACUGACUGUUUUGCUUUGAUGUUUUCAUUGAACCAGACUGCAGUUACAUAAAUCGAGCUUGUUGCUGGAAAGCCAACUGGUAAAGUCUCCCGAACUACGUGUACAUAUAUAUUUGCACGCUUGAUUUUAUGUUUUACUACUUGGAAUGUGGAGAGAAAAAGUUGUUUACUGACAUUGUUGUGAUACUGAAGUUCCUUUUACUCUUUUCCAAUGAUGUAGCCCGGUAAGUCAAAGUCAAAUGCUCAAUGGAAUGACUAAUUAGCGUUGAAACACCCUAUGUGUGUUGUUGUGCCCUUAAUACUAUAUAUCCAAUGUUCAAUUCAGUCCAGGCUGUAUCUAUUCUUGUAUGUCUGGCUUUCUCAUAAGUAGAUGAGGUUUUGGGCUCUUGGCCACCCGUAUGUCUUAUCUUAGUUCUCCGCAUGCUGAAUAUAGCCAAAAGGGGGAGCCUACCUUGUUGUGUUGGUCUUCCAAUUCAUACAUGCCUACAGGAUAUCUCAUGUUAUUAUUGUUUUUUGUUUUGUUUUACGGAUUCUUCAUAGCUAUAAUAUGUGGACCGAGGUUCACUCAGCAACACUGAAUGUUCUCGGAAAACAACACUUAACCCUGCUCAAUAUACCAUUCAUAGGACAGUAUCAAUGCUUCCUGAUCUAUUUGUUGUUCUCUGCUGUGAUCCCGGCCUCUGUCUUUCAGAACCCUUGCCCGCAACUAGAGAGAAGCUUGCCCAUUGCCAGAUGAGCCACUACUACCAGGAAAUGUAAGGAUACUAUAUCUUCUUGGUUUCGGUGUUCCUUUCCCUCACAUUUCAGCACUUCUUUUGUUAAUAAUAUGGGGAUGAGAGCAAAUAAGGAGGCUUAUAUUCAAAGAAAUCAAAUGCUCUUUGGCUGCCUAUUCUUUGGUGCUUGCAAUGCAUGGUGCCUUCGCUUUCUUUGGAAGCCUGCUGCAUGCUAGACUUCAACAGAAAUGGUUCGCCAUACGGGAAGGUUGUAAUACGCCUUGAUUGGCCUCUCCCUGCGGACGCAAGCCAAGCCAGUUGUUGUUAUGCCAUCAACUAUUGCUGCCGUGCCACAAGACUGCAAAACUGGUCGAGCAGGAUUUCUCAUCACUUCAUACUUCAGUGAUGACAGACUACAUGAAGGAAAUCUUGUGUGCGCAACUGGAGUAUACUUGUCAUGUAGGUAAGAAGCGCCCUUGCGUGUGCGGGUAAGGGGCGCUUUUGCAGAAAUCCAUGGCGAAAUCAGGUCUAGAGUACAGUUGCUCGCCAUGCUGGCUAAUUUGUUAAUGGCUAUCGGUAGCAGUUAUCCCUACCAAUGCACAUGUAUUUAACUAUACUUGACAGAUACCUGAUUACAUAUAUUUGUUUACGGAAGUGCAUGUUCGUGCAAAUGUGUUAUACAAUAAUGGUAUUUGCUUA